ACUCUGGUGCCUGUUGGUAGAUUAUACAUAAAUGGGAGAAAAGUUUUAAAUCCUUUUUCGUUAGCACGGGAAUGUGCCUAAAAGCUUGUUUUGUGGUCUCAGAAUUUUGCAAAGGAAACGACAACAGUCCUGCCAGUAUGGACCUCUCCUGGUGGAUCAGGGGUAGGGAUGUAUACAGAGUACCAGUAUUGUUUGGUACCGGUCCAGAAUCUUAACGGUACUGGGGUGUCAUUAAGAUUCUGGACAAACAAUACUGUUAUUGGUACUUUUUGAACGUCUAACUGUCUGCCUAACUGAUGCGUAAUCAUAACACUACCGCAGUCGAUAGGUGAUGACGCAGCGCCUAGUUGACUGAUCAUUUCCACAGAAAGGUCUAAGCCAGGCAUCACCCCGGUCCAGGCACGGACCCAGUGACAUUUCUGGUCGAACCCAUUCAAAUUCUAAUAUUAAUAUAUGGGGGAACAAGCCCAGUUGUAUCAAUAAGACUGUUCUCCAGGGAUCAAAGCGCUCUGGUGGACUGGCCCUACCAAAUUUUCUCUUCUACUAUUGGGCUUGCAGCAUACAGAAGCUAAUGUACUGGUUCAAAGAUAAACAAAUUGCACGAAAGGCAGAAUGGGUGUGAUUAGAGUUGUCUUCGUGUCAACAUUUUUUAAAUUCAGUAAUUUGUUUGGCCUUACCCUUUAUUUACAGUAACUUGAGCUCAAACACAAUAGUCAUAGUCAAAAGUCAAAAGACAUUUUGGAUUGCAAGGGCCUUCAAUCCUCUCUCUCAUUAAAUCAAAUCACAUGUUCAUUCCUUCUUGUACAGACCCUGCAUUCAACCUAUGGCUUGAAAAUGGGAUUAGAACAAUCCGUGACUUACGCAUAGAAGAGGUAUUUGCAUCCUUUUCACAGAAAAUGUUUGAAAAUUGAAUAAAACAUAUUUACAAAAAAACAAAAACAAACAUACAUAACAUUAACCCUUUAAGACCUGAACAUCCAUGUGCACAUAAAAAGAAGCUUGCAGUAUUUGAAUUACCAUAACUCACUGAUGAAAUUCAAAGUGUGGCUGAACACUUUGAAGUUGCGCUUUCUGGAAAAAAAAAAAAGAGCUGCCAUUGUGGUAAUGAUAACGCACCACUGCUGUCGGUUCCAGGUUGAGGACCGAAGCAUGAUCACGGAGCCCCAGGAAGAGAGUUUUUUUUGGAGGAAUUUGUUAGUAAAAACAAAGUUUUUAGUUAUACCCCUGAGAUGUCAUGAAGGUCUUCCAGACAAAAGCACAACUUCCCAGUGUUCAACCACACUUUGAAUAUUGUCAAUAGCGCAAACAACUGUGAGGUACGGUAAGUCAAAAUCGGCGUACUUUGACAGAUCCUUCAGGCUUUAAAUGGUUAAUAAAAACGUAAGUCCUGUGUUUUUUUGCUUUAGCUCUAUUGCAGCCGACCGCACAGCAGAUAGACAGCAUAUCGACAGCGUACUUCCUGUAUCUGACGUCAUAAAGAUGGCGCCGUUGAGACGGUGUGACGUCACUGUGAAACCCAUGAAUAACGUGAAAUCAAGUAGUUCUCGGAGGAUAUGCACAUCAGAGACAUAUUAAUGCACAAUUAACACACACGUGUUUGUAAGCGUAUGUGGAUAUAAAAGCAUGCGCAAAGUGAUGAAGAAAAUGGUAUUAACAAUGGCAGCCUUGGCUUUGUUAGAAGAUCUCGCAAAUGGUAACAUUAGGCGCGAGAGAGUGUUUAGAAAACGCAAAGAUUUACUCGCAAACGACGACGAGUGGCUCAUGAGUCGUUUUCGUUUACCGAGGCCAGUAUUACUGGAACUGUGCACAGAGCUGCAGCCCAUCUGUGUCCACACAGGUGCUGACUACUCUGGGGUUCCUGGCAACAGGGGCUUUCCAACCUGAACUGGCUGACCGGUCAGGAGUGUGUCGAUCAACCCUGACCCGAGCCAUGCCAGCUGUGUGGGACGGUAUCAUCAAAAUGUCAUCCAGGGAACAUUUUCAUUCCAUAAAUGUUCAAAUAAUAUGUGAUGCGCAAAUGCAGCUCACUAACAUCGUGGAAAGGUGGCCUGGUUCAACGCAUGACUCGUUCAUUCUGACCAACAGCAUGGUUGGGAACAGGCUGGAGGCUGGCAUGGUGCAGGAUCGAUGGCUUCUCGGGGACAUUGGCUACCCCCUGAGAAGGUGGCUGUUGAUCCCUCUCACCAACCCUGGCACCGAUCAAGAGAGGGGAUACAAUGACCUCCAGUCCUGAACUCGGGCAGUGGUGGAGAGGGCAAUCUGCCCGCUGAAGAGACCCUGGCGCUGC
Molecule: long non-coding RNA, 2287 nt
Organism: Mugil cephalus (flathead mullet)
Lineage: Eukaryota; Metazoa; Chordata; Actinopteri; Mugiliformes; Mugilidae
Exons: 3
Source: RefSeq, a predicted model, not a curated record